This 486-nucleotide ribosomal RNA is filed under the name uncultured Niastella sp. RNAcentral's name for it is "bacterial SSU rRNA". It matches the Rfam family "Bacterial small subunit ribosomal RNA", at positions 8 to 485 of the family's 1533-position model. The record is from RNAcentral. Lineage: Bacteria; Pseudomonadati; Bacteroidota; Chitinophagia; Chitinophagales; Chitinophagaceae.
AGAGUUUGAUCAUGGCUCAGGAUGAACGCUAGCGGCAGGCUUAAUACAUGCAAGUCGAGGGGCAGCAUGACUGUAGCAAUACAGUUGAUGGCGACCGGCAAACGGGUGCGGAACACGUACAGAACCUUCCUUCGAGCGGGGAAUAGCCCAGAGAAAUUUGGAUUAAUACCCCAUAGUAUUACGGAGUGGCAUCACUUUGUAAUUAAAGAUUUAUCACUUGAAGAUGGCUGUGCGGCUGAUUAGGUAGUUGGCGGGGUAACGGCCCACCAAGCCUGCGAUCAGUAACUGGUGUGAGAGCACGACCAGUCACACGGGCACUGAGACACGGGCCCGACUCCUACGGGAGGCAGCAGUAAGGAAUAUUGGUCAAUGGACGAAAGUCUGAACCAGCCAUGCCGCGUGGAGGAUGAAGGUCCUCUGGAUUGUAAACUUCUUUUAUAUGGGACGAAAAAGGGUCUUUCUAGAUCAACUGACGGUACCAUAGAA